RNAcentral lists this ribosomal RNA (253 nucleotides) under uncultured bacterium. RNAcentral describes it as "partial 16S ribosomal RNA". It matches the Rfam family "Bacterial small subunit ribosomal RNA", at positions 524 to 776 of the family's 1533-position model. The record is from RNAcentral.
UACGUAAGAGGCAAGCGUUGUCCGGAAUCACUGGGCGUAAAGCGCACGUAGGCGGCGUGGCAAGUCAGGGGUGUAAGCUCCAGGCUUAACCUGGAAAUUGCCCUUGAAACUACCUCGCUUGAGCGUCAGAGGGGAGACUGGAAUUCACGGUGUAGCGGUGAAAUGCGUAGAUAUCGUGGAGAACACCCGUGGCGAAGGCGGGUCUCUGGCUGACUGCUGACGCUGAGGUGCGAAAGCUAGGGGAGCGAACGGG